This 95-nucleotide ribosomal RNA is filed under the name Eisenbergiella tayi. RNAcentral's name for it is "partial 16S ribosomal RNA". It matches the Rfam family "Bacterial small subunit ribosomal RNA", at positions 1448 to 1533 of the family's 1533-position model. Lineage: Bacteria; Bacillati; Bacillota; Clostridia; Lachnospirales; Lachnospiraceae. The record is from RNAcentral.
AGGAGCAGCCGAAGGCAGGUCUGAUAACUGGGGUGAAGUCGUAACAAGGUAGCCGUAUCGGAAGGUGCGGCUGGAUCACCUCCUUUCUAAGGCGA